GCGCGUGGGAGUCUGGCCUGAAAAGAGGUUUUGAACUGCAGGUUCCGGAUGAUAUUUUAUGGUGAUAGCUCAGUCCUCAACAUUCUUACCUGGAAGUAAAUCCCAUUGGGAUCACUAGGAUUUAUUCCGGAACUUCAAUUAUACAUUUCUUCCUCCAAUGUUGAGUCCACAAAGAAACCCAACCUCACUAGAAGGUUUUCCCUGUUUACAGAGAUCUUUCUGUCUGUUCCAGCACUUUGGAGACUAGCAAUCAUUUAAAAAUGGAAAAUUGUCAUAUACAUAUCUGUAAAGGGAAGAGUAAUAUUUGUGAUAUGUGAUAUUUCAAAUGUUAAACUCCAACUCACAUCUGAUCCUGUCAGGCCUCAGAUAGCUAGCAGCAUCCUAUCAAAAUUUGGUCUUCCUCAUGCCUUUUUGGAACACCACACAUUUUCCAAAUUUGCAGUUAUGCUAGAGGAAAAACCCUUCAAAGAGAAGCUAUGUCUUUUAAGUAAAGAAAAGGUGGACUGACUUUAGAUGACAUAAAUUCGCUACACUUUAUACAAAUUUGCUUUAUGCAAAUUCAAUAUGGCAAUUUAUUAUUUCAUCCAAUAAUUCUGUAUGGGUGUGCAGAAACAUGUCAAAACUUCUUCCAUAAAAAAUGAAUAUGUUGAAUAUGUUGAAUAUUUUUCUUGUACAAAAUCGCUUUUCUGCCCUCACUAUCCUUAUUUACUGUGCUUGUGCCAAUUGUAUAUCCUCUUCCAUAUCUGAACCUGUAAUAGCCAUGAUAUCAAAAUGGGCAUCAACAUUUUGUGUAAACACCAUACUUAAAAAGAAAAGGAUCUCUCUAAUCAUGACCUUGGUGAAAGAACCUCACCCUCGGAUGAGCUUAUAUUGAAAGCUGAGCAAAAAAUCAUAGUGUUGUGAUGCAUUCUAACUGCCUAUCUGCCAUGAUAACCAUGCAUAUUGGAUAUGAAAAAAGAUGGAGACAAUAAUUUCACUCAUAGAAUCUACAACAUGACAGAAAUACAUUUGAAGAACAUAAGUUUUUGGAAUUUACAAGCACAUUUGUCAGUGUAUUCUUCAUAAUCCCCUUUUUCUACCAAUUCAGUGUCUUGCUUUAUGCAAAUUCACUUUAUGCAAGUUUUGGGAAAACAGCUCUAUUAUAAAGCAAGGAAAGUUUGAUAAUUUCCUAAUUUAAAAAAAUAAGAUACAUAGAUUAAUAAUGAGCUUUUCAUGACAUACUACUGCAUAUAAUAAUUAAGCCAAAUGAAAUGAAGUCAUUGACCAAAUGUAACUAUGUUGUCUACAGUUAACCAUGGGCAUUUCCCUAAUUCAUGUAUUAUAGGAGAAAUAUUUCUAAGUUCAUAUCCUAAAUAUGUGAAGUAUUUGUGCAAUUUUAAAAAGUGUUAAGCCAUUCAUAAUAUUUUCCCUAGUUUUAUAUUUUUAAUACAGAAGAAUUUGAGAGAGUCCAAGUAGGAAUGAGCAACAUACACUUUCACUUCCCAUCCAAUUUAUCCAUCAUUCUUGGUUCCAAAACAAAAAUAUAGCCUCAGUGCUGUUAUUUGUAAUUCAAUCCAUACUAUUACUCAACCGAGAAAUUGUUAGCUUAGGUACUGCAGGAAAUCUUUAUGGCAUACAGAAGUUGA
This is a long non-coding RNA of Ahaetulla prasina, 1625 nucleotides long. RefSeq lists it as uncharacterized. The transcript has 3 exons. NCBI's taxonomy places the organism in Eukaryota, Metazoa, Chordata, Lepidosauria, Squamata, Colubridae. The record is from RefSeq and is a predicted model, not a curated record.